Molecule: ribosomal RNA, 433 nt
Filed under: uncultured bacterium
Lineage: Bacteria
Description: partial 16S ribosomal RNA
Rfam family: Bacterial small subunit ribosomal RNA
Source: RNAcentral
AACGAACGCUGGCGGCAUGCUUAACACAUGCAAGUCGAACGAGACCUCCCGGCUUUUUUGCGCUCGUCUGCUUAACGCCGGGGAAGUUACCCGUAGGUACCGUAUACCUGCCCUUAGGGUGACUUCAUACCGCUUAGGCUCAUCGGGCCAAAGAUUUCUUGCUUUUGGAUGGGGGCUCGUUGGAUUCGCUGGUUGGUAGGGUAAAAGCCUGCCAAGGCGAUGAUCCUUGGCUGGUGUGAGAGGAUGAUCAGCACCACUGGCACUCGGACACGGCCCAGACUCCUACGGGAGGGAGCAGUGGGGAAUAUUGGACAAUGGGCGAAAGCCUGAUCCAGCAAUGCCGCGUGAGUGAUGAAGGCCUUAGGGUUGUAAAGCUCUUUUACCCGGGAUGAUAAUGACGGUACCGGGAGAAUAAGCUCCGGCUAACUCCGUG